AUUGAACGCUGGCGGCAGGCCUAACACAUGCAAGUCGAGCGGAUGAAGGGAGCUUGCUCCUGGAUUCAGCGGCGGACGGGUGAGUAAUGCCUAGGAAUCUGCCUGGUAGUGGGGGAUUACGUCCGGAAACGGGCGCUAAUACCGCAUACGUCCUGAGGGAGAAAGUGGGGGAUCUUCGUACCUCACGCUAUCAGAUGAGCCUAGGUCGGAUUAGCUAGUUGGUGGGGUAAAGGCCUACCAAGGCGACGAUCCGUAACUGGUCUGAGAGGAUGAUCAGUCACACUGGAACGGAGACACGGUCCAGACUCCUACGGGAGGCAGCAGUGGGGAAUAUUGGACAAUGGGCGAAAGCCUGAUCCAGCCAUGCCGCGUGUGUGAAGAAGGUCUUCGGAUUGUAAAGCACUUUAAGUUGGGAGGAAGGGCAGUAAGUUAAUACCUUGCUGUUUUGACGUUACCAACAGAAGAAGCACCGGCUAACUUCGUG
RNAcentral lists this ribosomal RNA (484 nucleotides) under uncultured bacterium. RNAcentral's name for it is "partial 16S ribosomal RNA". It matches the Rfam family "Bacterial small subunit ribosomal RNA", at positions 30 to 507 of the family's 1533-position model. The record is from RNAcentral.